CCGGCACGGGUGAGUAACACGUAUGCAACUUGCCUAUCAGGAGGGGAUAACCCGGCGAAAGUCGGACUAAUACCGCAUGAAGCAGGGGCCCCGCAUGGGGAUAUUUGCUAAAGAUUCAUCGCUGAUAGAUAGGCAUGCGUUCCAUUAGGCAGUUGGCGGGGUAACGGCCCACCAAACCGACGAUGGAUAGGGGUUCUGAGAGGAAGGUCCCCCACAUUGGUACUGAGACACGGACCAA
RNAcentral lists this ribosomal RNA (238 nucleotides) under uncultured bacterium. Its description in RNAcentral is "partial 16S ribosomal RNA". It matches the Rfam family "Bacterial small subunit ribosomal RNA", at positions 100 to 334 of the family's 1533-position model. The record is from RNAcentral.